Beta vulgaris subsp. vulgaris (sugar beet) is the source of this 1444-nucleotide long non-coding RNA. RefSeq lists it as uncharacterized. The record is from RefSeq and is a predicted model, not a curated record. The transcript has 10 exons. NCBI's taxonomy places the organism in Eukaryota, Viridiplantae, Streptophyta, Magnoliopsida, Caryophyllales, Amaranthaceae.
ACUACUUUUGCUACUUUUCAAAUGCUCCGGUUAACUAAUCAACCCGAGCAUUUGUGAAAAUUUUAAUAUAAAAAUUCACAAAUGCUCGGGUUGAUUAAUCAACCCGAGCAUUUGAUGUCAAAUGCUCCGGUUGACAACCCGAGCAUUUGAACCCUCUCUCAAUUCAUGAAAGUUGCACUGUACAAACUAAAAUAAUAUUCGACCCUCCUCAAUCCUCAUCAGUCCUUUCCUCUAUUGUUUUCUCUCAAUUGAAACCUCGCACUGUACUCCCCCGUCCAUCCCUAUGUUGUCCAUCCUUCCGCCGCAGUUCAAUCUCGCUGCUCCGCUCCUCAACGUCGACCUUACCGUUUGUGCAAUCAACAACUCCAUCGAAUGCAUUUCCAGCAGCGGCGAUAGGAGGCGAUGGCGAUGGUGGUGCAGCAAUUGCAACAGGAGAUCUCGACCGUUGCUCCUCCGGUUUUUCGAUCGCUCCCCCGCCACUGUGUGACCACUGCCACCAUCUAUGUCAUAUUUGUUGAUGAUGGAAGUCAGACUAAGGAGAACAGUUUUAUUUAUGCGAGAUGAUGCUUGGUUUGCAGCUCUCGGAAGGUCAUGCAUCCACUUAACCUGGAGCGACCGGGGUGCUAUAUCUCUUGAUGCAACUUUAUUCUGUCAAUGGAAGAUCCAUAGAUCAGCAUGCUACAUUGUGGAGCAUUGUGACGAUCCAGUAUACACGACUUUUACGGGAGUCAUUUAGGCUCAUGAUGCAUGGGUGACUGCAUUGAGCUGGGGCUUUCUUGCCUCUGAUUCAAGUCACCAGGUUGUAUUGGCUUCUGGUUGUUGUCAUGGCAGUGUAAGGAUCUGGUCUGCAUAUAUCUGUGAUCUCAAGAAGUUGACUGAUGCUGAGGAGAAUCCCUUCUUUCUAUUGAAUGAGGAUAAUUCGUUGCAUGGAUGGAUAUAUCAUAAGGGCUUUGUGUCUGAAGUGUCUGUUCCAUCGAACAGCCUUGGAACAAGAAGUUUUUCUGAUCUUCCUUCCGUGUCAGACUCAUGUUAUGGGGUGGCAUUUUCGCCUGGAAAUUUGGCACUUGCUGUGGCACGCAAAUUUGAUGUUGGACAGUUAGAUAAUAUGUACCAGAAAAGGCAGCAAAGGAUCAUGAGUUAGAUCAAGUUAAUCAAGAACAAGCUAAGAAGAAAAAUUCAUGGAGUUUGUCUGGUAUUCAAACUUUUUGUUUUUCGAUGAGUUUUUUUUUUUAGAUUAGUAUUAAUUUUGCUUGAUUUUCACUCUUCUUUAAGGUUUUACUUGAUUGUUUGUGAAAAGCAGUGUUAGAGAUUCUAGGAGUACUUGCUAAUUAACAUGUAUACUUUGAUUAGUUCUUACUAGUGUUGUUUAAUAUAAAAGAUAACAUUUUUUUAUUAAUGUAUUAUGCUUGUUGUUGUAUAGUUUGACGCAAGAUAUGAUAAUGAU